AGAAUCUCACCACAAACAGGGCAACAAGUAAUAAGAGGCUCUCUGCAAGUACCAGAAACAAACAUAAAGUGUACUAAGAUAUAUGCUAGGAUUGUGUAUCAUACUCUAAUUAUAAGUUUAAGGACAAUAAGAAUGUGUGUUUCUUACAUGCCCUAUGACAAGUGCUUGAAGAAACAAAGCGAAACAAAAACAGAAGAAGGAAUGCUAGCCUGAUAUGAAUAACAAAAGCCUUCAUUAAACAUAUUCAAUGGGUAGGCCAAGUAUAUUCAAUCAGUAUCGUGGUAAAAAACACAAUGAAAACUUCUGUCAUGCUAAGCCAUAUCGCAAACAAGUGUUGUUAAUAGAGCUCUAGGAACAGCAUACUGGAAAGAGAUUGAUCACCAUGUAACGUGAAAAUGGGCUUUUGGGUUGGUAAUCAAACAGUGGCAGAUAUGGAAAGAGUUAAAUACAACUUCUACAUGCUGUCAGGUGACCCACAAAUCAAAAACUCAACUGACUAAGUGUGAAUUUCACAUUGUACAAUUUUAUAAAGGUUAUACCAAGGAAUGCAUGACUCAUUAAAAACUUGAAGAUUAAACAAUAAAAAGAAAAAAGGGAUCCUUUUGGGAAGCGGAAAAGAAACGCUUUACAACACUCUUACCCGCCACUCCCAGGGUAAGAAGAGAAAGAAACAUGAUUUAUAUAUGGUCAUCUUGUAAAGGAAACACAUAAAUUCAUGUAGGUAGCAGAUAUUGAUGUAUGAUAUUCAUAAUUCAAGCUUACAGCCUCUGAAUUUAAAAGGUUGUUACUUUUCUUGUUGAAUAGCAAGAAGGUCAGCUAACUCAUCCAUGCUCACAACACCAUCCCCAUUCUUGUCA
Molecule: unclassified non-coding RNA, 857 nt
Filed under: Hevea brasiliensis (rubber tree)
Lineage: Eukaryota; Viridiplantae; Streptophyta; Magnoliopsida; Malpighiales; Euphorbiaceae
Source: RNAcentral